AUUACAAAAAUAUAAGCUGUAUGUGUCAGGACAACUUCAGAUGGUGAAACCUCAGGUUCUGGUCCAUACUGUAGCCAUUAACUUCAAUGUCAUCUAAAGGUGUUGGACCAGUGAUGGUGUAGUAGAAUUAUGUGAGUUUUGAUCACAAAAACGUUAAGGCCUACUGUUCUUGGUAUAUUACAAAGACACAAUUCUCACAUUAUUUCUGGUAUAUUUUUGUUAGAUCAAUCGGAGGAGAGAUCAUUAUCAGGAAAGAUGUCUGAAUUAGAUUAAAAGCAACAACUGAGAUUCCAUGUUUGCAAAGAGAGGCUGUAUGGAGUUGAGCGGUCCACAGAUCCCAGAGCAGCAUUUAACUCAACAAAAGCUCAAACACUCAAAGGCUUCAGAGAGUGCGUUGGACAACCAAGAAUAGUAGGACCAGCUGGGAUCAAGUUGGAGGACUUAUAACUGAUAAAAUAUGGACUGACAAUGGCAACAUUUCAGCAGGGGCGGACCGGCUAUAUGUCUGUUCUGGAAGAGCACAGAACAGGUGGGGGGGGCCAUCUCGCCCAGCCCUGCAGUUGCACAGCGGAGAAACAGAAAGAAGUAGAGAAACUGCAAGCUCGUUGUGUGACUACUCUGCAGUCAUCUGAUGACCUAAUAGAGACUUGGGAAGAGUGUACGAAGCAGGCAGUCAGAGGUGUAAAAACACUGUUUACUAGUGGCAGCAGGGCGCCACUGACACCAAAACUACAGCACAAGAAAAGAAGAUGCAGCUGUUGAUCCAGGGCACAUUAGCAUAUCAGACACUGCACAGGGACAGUCAGAAGAACAUGUGGAAGUUCUACCUCAGAUGAUCUCUAUGUAGAGAGCAAACGGUGAGCAACGAUGUAAGCCACACACACAGCAGGGCUUGAUUAAAAUAAAUUGAAGGGAGUUGUUAGCUAUAAGAUUUCCAAACACAACAUACUUAAAACCAGGUCAUUAUACCAUCUGGUUUUGCAGUAUGGCAUGUUUCCAUGUAGCCAUUUGAUUUGUGUAAAACAUUGUGUCUGAGAGGAUAUGAAGGUGCAAUUAGUUUGAAACUAUUUAAAAACAUAAUUUUGGUAUUUUAUUUAUUUAACAGCUCUGUUGUUGUUAAUUAGUGACACACCAAUUGCGGAAUGAAGAUUUUCAUAAAUUGAUGUUCAAAAUGCCUUAAUGAAAGCUCACAAUUAUGCUAAUUUGGGCCUGGCUACUCAUAGUUUCACACUUUAUUAUUUAUUUUAAUAUUUGAACAGAAAAUAUACGUAUCAUGCAGUUUUUUGAAGAUACAUGUUGCUAUUACUGACUAUGGACCAGCAUAUUCGCUGCUCACAAAAUGUGUCCUUUGGAGUAUUUGAAUGGAGUUUAAUGGGAUUUAGCAGCUGCAGAUUAGUGUCAGUGUCUGCACACCUCAGACAAUUUUCUAUUUUGAAAGAUUUUAGUCAUAAGGUUCAGAUUUUUGUAUAUUGUACGUUGUGUUCUGCUUUUU
This 1492-nucleotide long non-coding RNA is filed under the name Neogobius melanostomus (round goby). Its description in RNAcentral is "lncRNA (ENSNMLG00000021253.1)". Lineage: Eukaryota; Metazoa; Chordata; Actinopteri; Gobiiformes; Gobiidae. The record is from RNAcentral.